GUACUGCUGAAGAGUCCCAAAACUAAGACGAAACAGCUGUCCAUUAC
Molecule: non-coding RNA, 47 nt
Filed under: Trichobilharzia regenti
Lineage: Eukaryota; Metazoa; Platyhelminthes; Trematoda; Strigeidida; Schistosomatidae
Source: RNAcentral